AUUUCAAACAUUUUGUAAAGAAAAAAAAAGGAGGGGGCCUUAUAUUCUCUGGGCAAAGUCCAGAUACCGGCCAAAGGGCCGCCGUGUCUCCAUCGCACCUCCGCCGGUAGCCGGCGCCAUUGCCGCCAUAUGCGGCCGCCGGAGAGUUAAAAAAAGUUCCCUUCUUCGGCCGAUCUAAAAGCAGGUAUUUUUUUCCUUUCUUUUUUACUCUAUUUGUAUAUAUAUAUGUAUAUGCCGUGUAUAAAAAAACUUGUAAAUAGGUUAGUGUUUUCGAAAUAUAAAAGAAGGAAACCUUGGAUCUGCUUCUGCUUUCGCUUUUUCUGCUUGAAUCUAUCUCUUUUUCUUUGUAUUUCUAAGUGACGUUUUACAAAGGAAAAUCGGGGAAGCAGAACCCCUAAAACCGAUAUCCAAAUUCGGCUUUUAUACAUUUAUUUGCUAGUACUGUCGUUUCUUCUUAAUUGUUUGCAGGCACUCGAUGGCGCCAGUGGAGAGGCGGUGGUGGCAGAGGACGUGACAGAGGCGGUGGGUUGGUGGCAGCAGUCAAGUGGAGGCUGCAGUCAAGUGGGGCACUAGGGUUUCAGAGACUGAAACCCUAGUCUGACUCCUUGUUGGGUCUGGGGAAUUGGGCUUCUUGGGCCUUUUAUUUGUAAUGGGCCCGUAACAAAAAGCGUUUUCCAUUAUUUAGAUCCAAAGAAAUUGAAACCAAAUGCGUUAAGGAUCAAUUUUCUCGAAUAUAAACAUAAAAUUUUACUUGUUUGAAAGUCGAAACUUAUGCGUCGAGAUAAAUUAAUCUAAUUUGAAAUAGUAUAAAUGAAACACGAGGUUAAUAUGCGUACAAAGCAAUACUGAAUACGAUAGCAUAAAAGUAAUACAAGUAAUAAAAAUGAACGAAUAAAAGGGACAAUUUAAUAACAUGUAAAAUAGCAAGCAUAAGCAAAUAAAAUUAAAAUGUUCUUUUAAAAUAAAAAUAAAUAAAUAAAAGAUAUGAAUAAAAUUUAUAGAAAUAUAAAGUAUAUAUAUAGGUAUCAAAAUUAUGAAGUACAAAAUAUGUAUGUGGAUAUAUAUAUACGUUUUAAAAUUAUACAAUAUAACAAAAAUAUAUGUGUAUAUAUGUAAAUUAUAAAAUAUAUGUACAUAUAAGUAUUAUAAAAAUGUAUAGAUGUAUGCAUAUAUUUUAAGACUAUAAAAUAUAUGGAAGAAUAUAUGUAUGUAUACGUAGUUUUAAGUUACAAAAUAUAUGUAAGAAAAAUGUAGGUGUGUAUGAAUUAUAAUAUAUAUAUAUAUGUGUAUUAUAUUAGAUUUACAUAGAAAACACAUAAGAAGAUUUAUGAUGAAAUUAAAUAUUAAUAUAUGAAGAAACUUAAUAUAAUAAUGCAUAAUAAAUUUAUAAUGCUGAUAAUAAUACCUUAUGAUUUUAAAACAGAAUAAUAAUAAUAAUGAUAGUAAUAAUAAUAAUAUUUUGAAAAUAUAAAUGGGUAUAAAUAAAUAAUGAAAUGAUAUUAUAAGAUAAUAAUAUUAAAAAUCCACAUAAGUAAACAAAUACCAAUGCAAACGUAAUUAAUGUAACAAUGAAUAAAAGAAUAAUGACAGUUAAUAAGCUAAGGUUUUAUAAUUAUAAAUGAAAUAGAUAAUAAAAUAAAAUAUAUUAAAGUAUUUAAAUGUAUGAGUAAAAGAUGCAAUAGAAGUGAUGUAAAAUUGAUUAAUUAGCAAUGUGAAAACAAUAAUAAAAGGGUAAAAUAAUAAAGAUAGCAAGAAUAAUAUGAAAUCAAUUAAUUUAACAAUAAAAUAACUAAAAUAACAAAAAGAAGGAUUAAAUUGAACUUAAGGAUGAAAUUUCGGGGCAAAUUAGUAAUAAUAAAUAAAAGGAAGGACUACCCUGAACGUGCGAAUAAUAUGGAGGGACUGAAAGGGAAAUUUUCCCUUCUCCUCCAAAACGACGUCGUUCGAAUAGCGACUGAACUGAAAUCGCAGAAAAUUAUGGGGUAAAUUUAAAGAAAUAUAAAACUUGAUUAAAAAAUGUUAACAAAGCGGAAGGACUAGGGUAGUAAUUAUACCCUAGUCACAAAACACGCGGAUCCUCCUGGUAAUGGGUUGGGUCACGCAAAACGGUGCCAUUUUGGCGCUGAGACCCCUAGGUGAAACGGUGCCGUUUUAAAUGCUAUAAAAACUAAAAAAAAACUUAAAUUUCAUUCUAAUCAGCUUCAAAAAUAAAUAAAUAAAAACAGACAAACACUCUCUGCCUUUCCCCUCAGCCAUUCGAAUUCGACCUAGGGUUCCGCCCUCCGUCCACCGUGCAACUGCCAUGGUUGCGGCCGACGAGGAAAAGAAAUGGGCUUUUGGCCCUUAUCUCGCAGUGCCGUUUGAGGGUCAAACCCUCUAGACGGCCAAAACAGAGGAGAACCCCAGCCUCCUUUCAAAUCCGAUCCUAACGGCGAUGGAGACUCCCCUCUCUUCGAUGAUGUGAUCACGAAAGUUCACCGGUGAGUCCCUUUUGCCUUUGUUAUUUUCUAUUUAAUAUAAAAAAAUAAAAUGAAAAAGAAACGCGAAUCUGAGAUAAAAAAAUCACCUUUUUGUUUUUUAUUACUCAAUCUCGUGAAAAAGAAAAGGGCCCCCCUUUUACAGUGUAUUUGGCUUUUGCCGAAAGAAAAGAAGAAAAAACCUAAAAGAAAAAUCCCCCCUAUUUUUACAAUGUAUUUCAGCUUUUGUAGCCCUUAUUCUUGCUGUUGGUACUGAUUUUGACUUGUUUGCAGGUGUAAGUUGCGGUGAUUGAAGCAAGUAGCAAAGUUGGUGGCUGCCAGAGGAGUGAUGUGAUGGAAGCGUGUGAGGCGUGCGGCGCAAGGGUGGUGGCAGAG
RNAcentral lists this long non-coding RNA (2852 nucleotides) under Gossypium barbadense (sea-island cotton). RNAcentral describes it as "long non-coding RNA (GBAR_LNC016660)". The record is from RNAcentral. Lineage: Eukaryota; Viridiplantae; Streptophyta; Magnoliopsida; Malvales; Malvaceae.